RNAcentral lists this ribosomal RNA (301 nucleotides) under uncultured bacterium. RNAcentral describes it as "partial 16S ribosomal RNA". It matches the Rfam family "Bacterial small subunit ribosomal RNA", at positions 509 to 809 of the family's 1533-position model. The record is from RNAcentral.
CAGUAGCCGCGGUAAUACGAAGGGGGCUAGCGUUGUUCGGAAUCACUGGGCGUAAAGCGCACGUAGGCGGACUUUUAAGUCAGGGGUGAAAUCCCAAGGCUCAACCUUGGAACUGCCUUUGAUACUGGAAGUCUUGAGUUCGGGAGAGGUGAGUGGAACUGCGAGUGUAGAGGUGAAAUUCGUAGAUAUUCGCAAGAACACCAGUGGCGAAGGCGGCUCACUGGCCCGAUACUGACGCUGAGGUGCGAAAGCGUGGGGAGCAAACAGGAUUAGAUACCCGCGUAGUCCCUGUCUCUUAUAA